RNAcentral lists this long non-coding RNA (445 nucleotides) under Crocodylus porosus (Australian saltwater crocodile). Its description in RNAcentral is "lncRNA (ENSCPRG00005008143.1)". Lineage: Eukaryota; Metazoa; Chordata; Crocodylia; Crocodylidae. The record is from RNAcentral.
CUCAAACUCACAUAACUGAUAAGACCAGGGCUUGUUUGCAUUUCAGUACUUUUUCCUACCAGUCUCUAACAGAUACCAACAGAGAGUAUUCUUCCUCUUUGGAGCCUCAGUCCAUCUGGAGUCUCAGACAGCUCUGGGCUGAUUUUCUCCAUGGUCAUCAACAGUUAAAAUGCACAAUACAAAUCAACAGUAGAGACUACUUAUGCAACAUUGCUACAGGUCACCAUGUUCUAAGCCAAAGUGAGCACAUACAACACAGGGAAGAGAUGAGGACAGGAGAUGAGGAGCUGAGUUUGGUAGUGUCUGAGGGAGCAAUUUGGAGAGUGGUCUGCUCUGAACUGUUCCAAGGGAUCUCAUCUGAACUGGGAGGGACAACUUUUGCAUUCCCAUAGAAUGGCUAUAAAUUUCUUCCCUGUUAGCUCCCUCUCAUGAUUUUACCCACAGG